RNAcentral lists this unclassified non-coding RNA (1691 nucleotides) under Hevea brasiliensis (rubber tree). The record is from RNAcentral. Lineage: Eukaryota; Viridiplantae; Streptophyta; Magnoliopsida; Malpighiales; Euphorbiaceae.
AUUUUUAUUACAAACACAAAUAAUUUUUUUUUCCUUAUUUUAUUUGAAAUAUUUAUUUUAGGAAUUUUUUUCUCCCAUUUUUUUAUCAAAACACCUUAAACCGUCCCUUGAACUGCCCCAAACUGCUCGUUGAGCCGCCCAAACCACCCAUCUCUAAACCGCCUAUUAAACCAUUUCAAACCGGAGUUCGAACCGAAAAUAGCGGUUCACGAACUGCACCCCAAACUGUCCCUUAGCAGUUCAGUUCAGGUUCAAUAUUUCUCUUAACCUAAACCGGUGGUUCCUGAACCGUAGCCACUCCUACCCUGUAUAUUAUCCUUACAAAUGUGAUUUUUCCUAAAUGACAUAAUUAAUAUUCCAAUUACUAUACAAAUAAAGAUCUAAUGGGUCGAUUACACUCAACAAAAACUAAUAUUGAUCUCAAUCCCCUUUUUCUAAAUUUUGAUCGAUACACAAUUAUAGGUAGGUGUUGAUUUAUUUUUGAUACCAGUUUUAAUCUUCUUUUUUUUUAAUUUCUAUGUAGAUUCCACUUUCACGAUAGCAAAUUGGAAAUAUGGCAACAUAUCUACAGUGGGAUCCUAUUUAAUAUUUAUAGCAUUACAGAACCUUGACUCAAAUAUCCCAUACUUUAGCCAGAUACAUGUGUCGGGGAAAGGUGGAAAAGAUCCAUGCAACAUCCAUCUUUAUUCUUCUAAAUUAUGAGAUCUCAUUCAGUACCUUUAAAGGAAUAAUGAGAUCUAUAAAUACGUUUUUAUAAGUUGCAUAUAACCUAGAAAAUAUUGAUGAUCAAGCCAGUUUCCUAAACAGACUCGAUGAAACUUUAAGAAUUGUGGCAGUAUUGCCUAUCAUAUCUUUCUUCUUCAGAAACAAAAAUAUAAAACUAAAAUAAACAAAAUACUCAACAUAGAAGAUCACGAAGGCAGCUAAAAGUAUUCAGCACAAAGCAACUUGGGUUCAGUCAUAUUGCAAUGUGGCUUCAAUUACAUUCCAGUUUUUGGACGCAAGUUGUCCAAGACAGAAAACUCAUAUCAGUCUCGAAUAAGACAACCCUCCAUACAUCCAUUUUGAUCUUCUAAAAUAUUCUCGAUUAUGCUUCUCCAUAAGCAGCAUAAGGUUAAAUUUGAAUUGCAGAAAAUUUGCAACCUUAAAGAUACCUUUGCAACACAUGGCAGGCAACAAGUACACAUAACCUGUUACACCUUUUCUGCAUCCUCAUCAGAUGUUGAUGGACAUGUCGUUUGUAAAAACUAUUCCUAGUUACAAGAAUUUCAUUCCAGUAAAUCUAUUAUCACGUAAAACUUUCAAACAUUCACUGGGCACUGAUCCAAUAAUUAGUAACCUCAAUCACUAAGUAAGGACAUUAAUAUUCCAUCAUAUUAACUUUCAGUUGAUUGCCAUAGUUACGUGUCACCAUAUUCAUCAAAAUUAAAGCACAAGCAAAUCAGAAACUAAUUAAAACCCAAAGCACUAUGCUAGACCAGUAGCAACAGAGUAAAUGCGGCUUGAGAAGUCCUACUCCAAUGAAGUUCAUGCUUUAGGGAUUCAUAAGUUCCCUAAUCUAAACAUAAGAGAAAUACUAAUAAACAAAGCCUCGCAGAACAAAUGAAUGGAAUUCAGUGUUAUACAGAGACAUUAUACAGUGAGCCAAAAAUGAUCGAAUUAACAAAUUGAUAACAUUGUACCUUGGCUUU